CACGGGGGGAGCAAGCGUUGUUCGGAAUCACUGGGCGUAAAGGGCGUGUAGGCGGUCAGGUAAGUGAGACGUGAAAUGCCCCGGCUUACCCGGGGACCUGCGUCUCAUACUGCUUGGCUUGAGUACGGGAGAGGGUGUGGGAAUUCCUGGUGUAGCGGUGAAAUGCGUAGAUAUCAGGAGGAGCACCGGUGGCGAAGGCGCACACCUGGCCCGAUACUGACGCUGAGGCGCGAAAGCUAGGGGAGCAAACGGG
This 253-nucleotide ribosomal RNA is filed under the name uncultured bacterium. RNAcentral's name for it is "partial 16S ribosomal RNA". It matches the Rfam family "Bacterial small subunit ribosomal RNA", at positions 524 to 776 of the family's 1533-position model. The record is from RNAcentral.